GGCCUAACACAUGCAAGUCGAGCGGUAACAGAUCCAGCUUGCUGGAUGCUGACGAGCGGCGGACGGGUGAGUAAUGCAUAGGAAUCUGCCCGAUAGUGGGGGAUAACCUGGGGAAACCCAGGCUAAUACCGCAUACGUCCUACGGGAGAAAGGGGGCUCCGGCUCCCGCUAUGGGAUGAGCCUAUGUCGGAUUAGCUAGUUGGUGAGGUAACGGCUCACCAAGGCCACGAUCCGUAGCUGGUCUGAGAGGAUGAUCAGCCACAUCGGGACUGAGACACGGCCCGAACUCCUACGGGAGGCAGCAGUGGGGAAUAUUGGACAAUGGGGGAAACCCUGAUCCAGCCAUGCCGCGUGUGUGAAGAAGGCCCUCGGGUUGUAAAGCACUUUCAGCGAGGAAGAACGCCUAGCGGUUAAUACCCGCUAGGAAAGACAUCACUCGCAGAAGAAGCACCGGCUAACUCCGUGCCAGCAGCCGCGGUAAUACGGAGGGUGCAAGCGUUAAUCGGAAUUACUGGGCGUAAAGCGCGCGUAGGUGGCUUGAUAAGCCGGUUGUGAAAGCCCCGGGCUCAACCUGGGAACGGCAUCCGGAACUGUCAAGCUAGAGUGCAGGAGAGGAAGGUAGAAUUCCCGGUGUAGCGGUGAAAUGCGUAGAGAUCGGGAGGAAUACCAGUGGCGAAGGCGGCCUUCUGGACUGACACUGACACUGAGGUGCGAAAGCGUGGGUAGCAAACAGGAUUAGAUACCCUGGUAGUCCACGCCGUAAACGAUGUCGACCAGCCGUUGGGUGCCUAGCGCACUUUGUGGCGAAGUUAACGCGAUAAGUCGACCGCCUGGGGAGUACGGCCGCAAGGUUAAAACUCAAAUGAAUUGACGGGGGCCCGCACAAGCGGUGGAGCAUGUGGUU
RNAcentral lists this ribosomal RNA (904 nucleotides) under Halomonas sp. K2-28-055. Its description in RNAcentral is "bacterial SSU rRNA". It matches the Rfam family "Bacterial small subunit ribosomal RNA", at positions 45 to 946 of the family's 1533-position model. Lineage: Bacteria; Pseudomonadati; Pseudomonadota; Gammaproteobacteria; Oceanospirillales; Halomonadaceae. The record is from RNAcentral.